RNAcentral lists this transfer RNA (67 nucleotides) under Plestiodon elegans. Its description in RNAcentral is "tRNA-Lys". The record is from RNAcentral. Lineage: Eukaryota; Metazoa; Chordata; Lepidosauria; Squamata; Scincidae.
CACUAAGAAGCUUUUAUAGCACUAGCCUUUUAAGCUAGGGAGGGAGACUUAUACUCCCUUAGUGAAA